AUCGCGAGAUCUAAGUAUGGCCCCAGCGACCAUGGCCCAAUCUCGCGCAAUGAUUGCGCCACAGAUAUUCCCAUCCCCCACACAGAGAGGCGCCUUUGACUCCCCCCUCCAGAUAGGCGUCCAUAUCUCGCGAGAUCGCGCAAGUUGCUAGAGCAAAGACAGUUGGUACAGUUCCUGUCAAUCUUUCAGGAAACUCAACGCUGAGUGGAGGUCGGUGGUCACCACCUCCUCGUGGCGCCUUCUCAUAGCUAUCUGAAGGUUUCCCCCUCAGAACGGACCACCCAUCCACCCACUGGGCCACCUACCCAGUUGUCUGUCAAGGUCGCCAUAAGACAGUCUAAUCCAUAUGGCGAAAGAAUAAAAGGAAAACGGUCAUGUGCAGAUCAUCCGGGAAGGAUGAAGACGAAGUGAAAGCAUGUAAGAGAGAAGGCGAGAAUGAGACCGUACAGGGGUAGGAGGCUAGGACUGUAGAGUAAAAAUUAGAUUUCCUGUCGUUUUGGAGCCAGUGGGACUAGGCACUGCUUCGACUGUCGGGCUUCAAAAUACCCUUGGAAGUAGUGGAGAAAGGCAAAAAGAAGGUGAAAAAACAAACUACCACCCUUGGCAGUGGAUCAGCUUUGUGCCCCCCGCAUUUAUAGGCUGGCCUUGUGUCGGAGUUGCUAUUGUUUCUUCAAAAAUGUCUCCCAUUCCCCUGGGACUUGACUCCUCGCCCCUGAAGUCUUUCACAUGCCUGGCAAUUAGAGUAUAAAUUUCACCGUUGGUUCUUUGGUCAAUACUGUGAAAAAGAAGGGGGAACAGAGAGGUAAUUGACUAUAAGGCUUUUUCUUCCAAGAUAAAAAUGUUUGGAAAAAAAUUAGAAAGAUGACUUACAAGCAAAAAAUCUUAACAGAAGUCUUUAAUAGCUUAAUGAUUGAGAGCAAAUAUUUGAAAUGAGAUAUCUUGGUUCCUGUAGCUGCUUCAACACUGUGUGACCUUGGACAAGUAAAUCAACCUCUCACUGCCUAUCCUGCAUUUCCUCCUAUGAAGAAGAGGGUAAUAUAAUUACUAAGCUAAUAUACUGACUUGUUAAUUUUGCAAAUAUCACAGCAUCAAGGUGGCCCCUUCUUAAUUUUUUGUUUCUGUGGUAACGUAGUGCUGAAGUUGAUCUUACCCUCUGGACUUAUUUGGGAAGAAGAAGUUUCUAAGCUCCAAGUCACUUGAAGAUUGAAUAUUCCUUAAAUUGUUUUCUGUUCAAGGACCAUCAGAGUGAACCUAGCAAUUUAGCGCACAAUCAAGAAACACCACCUGGAAAACUCAUUAUGUAAAGCAAAAGUAUUUUUUAUGUUUAAAAGAAAAUAUUAAAAAUAUGCUUUUCAUUCACUUUGCAAAAC
This 1370-nucleotide long non-coding RNA is filed under the name Equus asinus (donkey). Its description in RNAcentral is "lncRNA (ENSEASG00005032114.1)". Lineage: Eukaryota; Metazoa; Chordata; Mammalia; Perissodactyla; Equidae. The record is from RNAcentral.